Molecule: long non-coding RNA, 644 nt
Filed under: Homo sapiens (human)
Lineage: Eukaryota; Metazoa; Chordata; Mammalia; Primates; Hominidae
Description: non-protein coding ZBTB46-AS1:5
Source: RNAcentral
GUGCAGUGGGCAAAGGUGCAGUGGGUGCAGAUGGGCACAGGUGCAGGUGGGCAUAGGUGCAGUAGGUGCAGGUGCAGUGGGUACAGGUGGGCACAGGUGCAGUGAGUGCAGGUGCAGUGGGCAAAGGUGCAGUGGGUGCAGGUGGGCACAGGUGCAGGUGAGCACAGGUGCAGUGGGUACAGGUGGGCAUAGGUGCAGUGAGUGCAGGUGGGCACAGGUGCAGUGAGUGCAGGUGCAGUGGGUACAGGUGGGCAUAGGUGCAGUGAGUGCAGGUGGGCAUAGGUGCAGUGAGUGCAGGUGCAGGUGGGCGCAGGUCGAGUGGGUGCAGGUGCAGUAGGUGCAGGUGAGCACAGGUGCAGUGGGUACAGGUGGGCACAAGUGCAGAAGGUGCAGGUGCAGUGGGUACAGAUGGGCAUAGGUGCAGUGAGUGCAGGUGAGCACAGGUGCAGUGAGUGCAGGUGCAGGUGGGCGCAGGUCCAGUGGGUGCAGGUGCAGUGGGCACAGGUACAGUGGACACAGGUGGGCACAGGUGCAGUGGGUGCAGGUACAGUGGGCACAGGUGCAGUGGGUGCAGGUACAGUGGGCGCAGGUGCAGUGGGCACAGGUGGGCACAGGUGCAGUGGGCGCAGGUGGGCACAGGUGCG